UUAAGCGACUAAGCGUACACGGUGGAUGCCCUGGCAGUCAGAGGCGAUGAAGGACGUGCUAAUCUGCGAUAAGCGUCGGUAAGGUGAUAUGAACCGUUAUAACCGGCGAUUUCCGAAUGGGGAAACCCAGUGUGUUUCGACACACUAUCAUUAACUGAAUCCAUAGGUUAAUGAGGCGAACCGGGGGAACUGAAACAUCUAAGUACCCCGAGGAAAAGAAAUCAACCGAGAUUCCCCCAGUAGCGGCGAGCGAACGGGGAGGAGCCCAGAGCCUGAAUCAGUGUGUGUGUUAGUGGAAGCGUCUGGAAAGGCGCGCGAUACAGGGUGACAGCCCCGUACACAAAAAUGCACAUAUUGUGAGCUCGAUGAGUAGGGCGGGACACGUGGUAUCCUGUCUGAAUAUGGGGGGACCAUCCUCCAAGGCUAAAUACUCCUGACUGACCGAUAGUGAACCAGUACCGUGAGGGAAAGGCGAAAAGAACCCCGGCGAGGGGAGUGAAAAAGAACCUGAAACCGUGUACGUACAAGCAGUGGGAGCCUCUUUAUGGGGUGACUGCGUACCUUUUGUAUAAUGGGUCAGCGACUUAUAUUCUGUAGCAAGGUUAACCGAAUAGGGGAGCCGAAGGGAAACCGAGUCUUAACUGGGCGUUAAGUUGCAGGGUAUAGACCCGAAACCCGGUGAUCUAGCCAUGGGCAGGUUGAAGGUUGGGUAACACUAACUGGAGGACCGAACCGACUAAUGUUGAAAAAUUAGCGGAUGACUUGUGGCUGGGGGUGAAAGGCCAAUCAAACCGGGAGAUAGCUGGUUCUCCCCGAAAGCUAUUUAGGUAGCGCCUCGUGAAUUCAUCUCCGGGGGUAGAGCACUGUUUCGGCAAGGGGGUCAUCCCGACUUACCAACCCGAUGCAAACUGCGAAUACCGGAGAAUGUUAUCACGGGAGACACACGGCGGGUGCUAACGUCCGUCGUGAAGAGGGAAACAACCCAGACCGCCAGCUAAGGUCCCAAAGUCAUGGUUAAGUGGGAAACGAUGUGGGAAGGCCCAGACAGCCAGGAUGUUGGCUUAGAAGCAGCCAUCAUUUAAAGAAAGCGUAAUAGCUCACUGGUCGAGUCGGCCUGCGCGGAAGAUGUAACGGGGCUAAACCAUGCACCGAAGCUGCGGCAGCGACACUAUGUGUUGUUGGGUAGGGGAGCGUUCUGUAAGCCUGUGAAGGUGGCCUGUGAGGGUUGCUGGAGGUAUCAGAAGUGCGAAUGCUGACAUAAGUAACGAUAAAGCGGGUGAAAAGCCCGCUCGCCGGAAGACCAAGGGUUCCUGUCCAACGUUAAUCGGGGCAGGGUGAGUCGACCCCUAAGGCGAGGCCGAAAGGCGUAGUCGAUGGGAAACAGGUUAAUAUUCCUGUACUUGGUGUUACUGCGAAGGGGGGACGGAGAAGGCUAUGUUGGCCGGGCGACGGUUGUCCCGGUUUAAGCGUGUAGGCUGGUUUUCCAGGCAAAUCCGGAAAACCAAGGCUGAGGCGUGAUGACGAGGCACUACGGUGCUGAAGCGACAAAUGCCCUGCUUCCAGGAAAAGCCUCUAAGCAUCAGGUAACAUCAAAUCGUACCCCAAACCGACACAGGUGGUCAGGUAGAGAAUACCAAGGCGCUUGAGAGAACUCGGGUGAAGGAACUAGGCAAAAUGGUGCCGUAACUUCGGGAGAAGGCACGCUGAUAUGUAGGUGAAGCGACUUGCUCGUGGAGCUGAAAUCAGUCGAAGAUACCAGCUGGCUGCAACUGUUUAUUAAAAACACAGCACUGUGCAAACACGAAAGUGGACGUAUACGGUGUGACGCCUGCCCGGUGCCGGAAGGUUAAUUGAUGGGGUUAGCGGUAACGCGAAGCUCUUGAUCGAAGCCCCGGUAAACGGCGGCCGUAACUAUAACGGUCCUAAGGUAGCGAAAUUCCUUGUCGGGUAAGUUCCGACCUGCACGAAUGGCGUAAUGAUGGCCAGGCUGUCUCCACCCGAGACUCAGUGAAAUUGAACUCGCUGUGAAGAUGCAGUGUACCCGCGGCAAGACGGAAAGACCCCGUGAACCUUUACUAUAGCUUGACACUGAACAUUGAGCCUUGAUGUGUAGGAUAGGUGGGAGGCUUUGAAGUGUGGACGCCAGUCUGCAUGGAGCCGACCUUGAAAUACCACCCUUUAAUGUUUGAUGUUCUAACGUUGGCCCGUAAUCCGGGUUGCGGACAGUGUCUGGUGGGUAGUUUGACUGGGGCGGUCUCCUCCUAAAGAGUAACGGAGGAGCACGAAGGUUGGCUAAUCCUGGUCGGACAUCAGGAGGUUAGUGCAAUGGCAUAAGCCAGCUUGACUGCGAGCGUGACGGCGCGAGCAGGUGCGAAAGCAGGUCAUAGUGAUCCGGUGGUUCUGAAUGGAAGGGCCAUCGCUCAACGGAUAAAAGGUACUCCGGGGAUAACAGGCUGAUACCGCCCAAGAGUUCAUAUCGACGGCGGUGUUUGGCACCUCGAUGUCGGCUCAUCACAUCCUGGGGCUGAAGUAGGUCCCAAGGGUAUGGCUGUUCGCCAUUUAAAGUGGUACGCGAGCUGGGUUUAGAACGUCGUGAGACAGUUCGGUCCCUAUCUGCCGUGGGCGCUGGAGAACUGAGGGGGGCUGCUCCUAGUACGAGAGGACCGGAGUGGACGCAUCACUGGUGUUCGGGUUGUCAUGCCAAUGGCACUGCCCGGUAGCUAAAUGCGGAAGAGAUAAGUGCUGAAAGCAUCUAAGCACGAAACUUGCCCCGAGAUGAGUUCUCCCUGAGACUUAGAGUCUCCUGAAGGAACGUUGAAGACGACGACGUUGAUAGGCCGGGUGUGUAAGCGCAGCGAUGCGUUGAGCUAACCGGUACUAAUGAACCGUGAGGCUUAACCUU
RNAcentral lists this ribosomal RNA (2902 nucleotides) under Escherichia coli KTE5. Its description in RNAcentral is "bacterial LSU rRNA". It matches the Rfam family "Bacterial large subunit ribosomal RNA". The record is from RNAcentral. Lineage: Bacteria; Pseudomonadati; Pseudomonadota; Gammaproteobacteria; Enterobacterales; Enterobacteriaceae. RNAcentral also lists the same sequence under 1 other name.